This is a non-coding RNA of Oryctolagus cuniculus (rabbit), 2426 nucleotides long. Lineage: Eukaryota; Metazoa; Chordata; Mammalia; Lagomorpha; Leporidae. The record is from RefSeq and is a predicted model, not a curated record.
GCCCUCUGAGCCACAUGGGACGGAAAGCAUGCACGAUGCACCUGGAAACUCACACACACACACAUACAUGGUGCACACAAAUCCCCGGGCAAUGCAGACUCAGGUCAGUGUCCACACACUGGGGCCACCCCACCCCCAGCCUCAGACUCACAUAGUCAGGUCCAGACCCAGGUCACGUGAUGCCCAGACUUCCACAGGCACAUGGAAGCCCUGAGAGGCCUGCAGCCCCUGCAGCCACUGGGAGAUGUGCUCCAUUGCCUCCACCCCUCCCCACCCCGGUGCUGAGGCAGUGCGAGGAUUCCUAGGAGGGAAGUCCCGUGUGGCCCAAGGAUGAACUCUUUGGCCCUCAGCAGAGUGGUGGAUGGGGAGAAAUGGACGCUGAAGGUGGGUGAACAGAGGAUCUGGCACUGCCCUAGAAGAGAGAAUCAGAGGCGCACCUGCAACAGGGUGGGUUCUGGGCGCACGUUAUAGGUCAGAUGGAACCAAUGGCUCAGUGGCUGCUUCAAAGCAUCCAGAAGGGAAGUGAGCUGGGUGGCACUUGGGACUGUGUCUGGGGCCUCGGGCAUCACUCACUGGGAGGGGUUACAACAGGGAAGGGGGUGCAGGGUGCCAGAAUGGCCCUAUUGGUUAUGCAAACUGGGGACUCAAAUUACCCUGAGCACUAGUUCCUGGGGACACAUAGUCUCCAGCCAAGACAGGGGGGCUGCAGCCCAUAGCCUGAACCCCAGCGGGCUCUCAGAGUCCCUUCCCAGGCACCUGGCCCUCAUAGGAGAACACAGAGGCCAGAGGCCAGAAGAGCAGGGAGCCCCCUGGAGGCCAGAGGAGCUAAAACCCCCUGAGGGUGGCCUCAGGUGUUCCUGCCCCACCCCAGUUCUGCAGUCUCCAGCUGUCAGGGGUACCGUGAAUCGCAAUGGUCUCACCACACAACCCUGGACCUCCCUUCAGAAUCAGCCCUGUCAGGAAUCAGAAGAGCCCUUCUGAAGCCGAUGUCAGCCUGUUCCUCAGCACCAACCACCCCCCACCACCACCUCUGCUUUGGACCAGAGCCGGGCACUUCACCGAGGCUGAAGGGGGGCUGGCAAAGGCUAAACUGGCAGCAGGCAGCAUUUCCAGCAUGCAGUCUCUCCCAUGAAGGUGGAGAAGGAACUCCUUCCCGCAGCGGCCCAACUUCCGGGAGCCAGGGGCGACUCCAGCAGAAACCACGACCUCGUGCGGAGGACAUGCUGGAGAAGCCCCCAGGGCCCUGGUGCACUGGAUUCUUCCUGUGAGAACCUCAUUCCUCUCUGUUCCGUGUCUCCCAGUCCACCUCCUGCCUCCGAGUCCCCUCCACACGGGGACUGCAGGGGACAGCGUCCAUGGAGCUGCUGGGAACUGCACGUCCGCACCUGUAUCCAGGCAUCUGUAGGGGGAGCUGCCAUGUUCUUGCCUGAUCCCUCCUACCUAGACCACUCUGGGCCAUUGAGACUCUUCCCUGGAACUGGGGUCUUAGAAGCCCAUUCAUUUUUAGUGGCUGAGAUCGCAGGCAGAAAGCUCAGGCACUGUCCAUGUCCAUCGUGGAGAACAGAGCCAAAGAAAGGAACGCAGGGAGCUGGUGCCCAGGGAAGAACAGGAACCAGAGGAGCUGAACAGAAGCAGAUGCUGCCAGGGACAUGGGCCACAAGAAAAGGGGGCUGGUGGAUCAACGGAGGUGACGUCGGCAGUGCAGACUGAGGAUGGUGAUUCGGGAGCUCCGACCAGACAGCACUGUCUCUGCAGGAAAAACCAAGCUGGAACUGGAAAGAUCAGUGCUGACUCUGCAUUUGUCUCCACUGUGAGAUACCAUGUCCAAUAUUGCCACGAUAAUUCAGCUGAUGGAAGUAAAAUGAUUCCAUCUCUUGACAACAGGUUUAUGACUCCUCUAUUUUUAAAAACAAGCUAAAUAUUUUAUUUCUUUCAAAGAAAAAUGUGAUUUUUUUUUCCUUACCAGCCACAAUAACUUAAAUGAGUGACACCCUUCAGUGCAUAUAUGUAUCGUGUUUUUCUCUUUUUGAAUAGCUAAUACAUAUAUAUGACUGUCUUAGAAAACAGAGCACAGAGGGGUGGGUGGUAAAAAGUGACUCUUCCCCUCUCCCACUCUGCAUUUAAAGCACUGAUACUGGGGUUGGCAUCCAGCACCAUGGCUAGGACACCACUUGGGAUACCCACAUCCCAGAUCAGAACAUCUGGGUCCGAGUCCCAGCUCCAUUCUCAAUUCUAGCUUCUUGGAAGGCAGCCGGCAAUGGCUCCACUAGUUGGGAGACCUGGAUUGAGUUCUGGGAUCCUGGUUUUCAGCCUGGCCCAUCCCUGGCUGCUGUGGGCAUUUGAGGAGUAAACUAAUAGUUAGGAUCUCUCUCUCUCUCUCUCUCUCUCUCUCUCUCUCUCUCUCACUGCAUUUCAAUAAAAUUUAA